GACGAACGCUGGCGGCGUGCUUAACACAUGCAAGUCGAACGAUGAACCCGGAGCUUGCUCUGGGGGAUUAGUGGCGAACGGGUGAGUAACACGUGAGUAACCUGCCCUGGACUCUGGGAUAAGCGUUGGAAACGACGUCUAAUACCGGAUAGGACCUUGGAUCGCAUGAUCUGGGGUGGAAAGUUUUUUCGGUCUGGGAUGGACUCGCGGCCUAUCAGCUUGUUGGUGAGGUAAUGGCUCACCAAGGCGUCGACGGGUAGCCGGCCUGAGAGGGUGACCGGCCACACUGGGACUGAGACACGGCCCAGACUCCUACGGGAGGCAGCAGUGGGGAAUAUUGCACAAUGGGCGAAAGCCUGAUGCAGCAACGCCGCGUGCGGGAUGACGGCCUUCGGGUUGUAAACCGCUUUUAGUAGGGAAGAAGGGCUUCGGCUUGACGGUACCGGCAGAAAAAGGACCGGCUAACUACGU
Molecule: ribosomal RNA, 471 nt
Filed under: uncultured bacterium
Lineage: Bacteria
Description: partial 16S ribosomal RNA
Rfam family: Bacterial small subunit ribosomal RNA
Source: RNAcentral